GAGGGUAUAGCUCAGUGGUAGAGUGCAUGCCUAGCAUGUACGAGUCCUGGGUUCAGUCCCCAGUGCCUUCA
This 71-nucleotide transfer RNA is filed under the name Camelus bactrianus (Bactrian camel). It matches the Rfam family "tRNA". Rfam says of the family: Transfer RNA (tRNA) molecules are approximately 80 nucleotides in length. Lineage: Eukaryota; Metazoa; Chordata; Mammalia; Artiodactyla; Camelidae. RNAcentral also lists the same sequence under 2 other names. The record is from Rfam by way of RNAcentral.